AUGGGCGACGCGCCCCCGCCGGCCCCCGCGCCGCCCGUCGAGGGGGGAGGAAGCGAUGGGGCCGGGCCUGACCCUAACUCGCACCGGUUGAGCCCGGAGACCGUGUCGGUGGAGCUCUCCAUGGGCGGGGACUACUACCACGCCUGCUGCGGCGACCCCGACCCCGACCCCAAGCCCGAGGGACCCCAGGUACCGUACAUCGGUAACAAGGAACCUCUCUCCGCCUUAGCAGCAGAGUUCCAGUCUGGCAGCCCCAUUUUACAGGAGAAAAUAAAGUUGCUUGGUGAACAAUAUGAUGCUUUAAGACGAACACGAGGAGAUGGAAACUGCUUUUAUCGAAGCUUUAUGUUCUCCUACCUGGAACAUAUCCUUGAGACACAAGAUAGAGCUGAGGUUGAGCGCAUCCUAAAAAACAUUGAACAGUGCAAGAAGACACUUUCGGGUCUUGGAUACAUUGAAUUCACUUUUGAAGACUUCUUCUCUAUGUUCAUUGAGGAGCUGCAAAAUGUUCUGCAGGGGCAUGAAACUUCUAUUGGGCCUGAAGAACUUCUAGAAAGAACCAGGGAUCAAACGACUUCUGAUUAUGUUGUCAUGUUCUUUAGGUUUGUUACCUCUGGUGAAAUUCAAAGGAGGGCUGAGUUCUUUGAACCAUUUAUUUCUGGCUUGACAAAUUCGACCGUGGCUCAGUUUUGCAAGUCUUCUGUGGAGCCAAUGGGCGAGGAAAGCGACCAUGUGCACAUUAUUGCUCUGUCAGAUGCGUUAGGGGUGCCAAUCCGCGUGAUGUACCUAGACCGAAGCUCUUGUGACACAGGCAAUCUAAGCGUGAACCACCAUGAUUUCAUCCCUGCAACCAAUUCCUCUGAAGGUGAUGCUGCAAUGGGAUUAAAUCCGGCUGAGGAGAAACCUUACAUUACUCUGCUCUACCGGCCUGGUCACUAUGAUAUUCUCUACCCAAAGUGA
Molecule: ribosomal RNA, 960 nt
Filed under: Triticum aestivum (bread wheat)
Lineage: Eukaryota; Viridiplantae; Streptophyta; Magnoliopsida; Poales; Poaceae
Description: partial small subunit ribosomal RNA
Source: RNAcentral